UACGGGGGGGGCAAGCGUUGUUCGGAAUUACUGGGCGUAAAGGGCUCGUAGGUGGCCAACUAAGUCAGACGUGAAAUCCCUCGGCUUAACCGGGGAACUGCGUCUGAUACUGGAUGGCUUGAGUUUGGGAGAGGGACGCGGAAUUCCAGGUGUAGCGGUGAAAUGCGUAGAGAUGUGGAGGAACACCGAUGGCGAAGGCAGCCCCCUGGGCCAAUACUGACGCUCAUGCACGAAAGCGUGGGGAGCAAACAGG
Molecule: ribosomal RNA, 253 nt
Filed under: uncultured bacterium
Lineage: Bacteria
Description: partial 16S ribosomal RNA
Rfam family: Bacterial small subunit ribosomal RNA
Source: RNAcentral